This 416-nucleotide long non-coding RNA is filed under the name Mus pahari (shrew mouse). RNAcentral's name for it is "lncRNA (MGP_PahariEiJ_G0004629.1)". The record is from RNAcentral. Lineage: Eukaryota; Metazoa; Chordata; Mammalia; Rodentia; Muridae.
GACAAGCAGGCUAGGGGAACCCGACGUCCCUCAGGCCACGUCGUGGGCCCCUCAGCCUGGCCUGAAGCGUACGAUGCUUUUCCUCAAUCCGGAGUCCUCAAUCCGGUGUCCUAGUCUCUAGAGGCAAGAGCAUCCAUCCCUCCUUCGAGAUGAGGCCCGAGGUUGCCACCAGUACCCUGACACACCGAGGAGCCUUGGAGAGAAGCCACUUACCAAGGACAUAGGGGGGAAAGGAACAGUAGGCACAGACUGUGGGGACUGGAAAAGAGGAGGAUGGAAGGUUCUUGGCUGGGAAAGCUGGCAGAAGGCCAGGGUCUGAGAGAACGACUGGUGCAUGCUGUCCACUCCGCUGGCCGCUACAUGUAAAAUAGCUACAUACAGCUAUUCUAGCAAAUUGAAAGUAAAUCAUCACUGGG